UCAUCAGGAGGAGGAGGAGCAGGAGCUGGAGGAAGAAAUGGAAGAGGUACAUGACAUUGGCUAUCAAAGGUACCUGCACCUCUUAUCCACAUUAACAUAUUCACUAAUUUGUUUAUUUGUUUAAUUACACCUAAUAAUUAAUGCAAACUUUUAAACUUUUAAACUUUUUUUAACCAUAUAUUAGGUAUAUAUAAUCAUAAUCAUAUAAAACUAUUUAUUUUGGAUAGUUAUUUAAUUUAAAUAUGAUUCGUUACAUGUACAUAGUAUUAGAGUUGCAAUACUCUAAUCCUUUUAAACAUUAAUUUGAUGGAUAUGUAUAAAUGUAUAAUGUGGACUAUUAUUGUAUUAAAAUAAAUGAAAUUUAGCUAUAUAUUGUGUAAACUAUAAAUCCAACACAGAGAGACAUUGAGACAAUGCUAGCAGACAAGAAAUAGAGAGAGAAUGGUGAUAAAUACAAAGGUAGAUGAGUCGAUGAAGACGAGAAACUCAAAUUUAUUUAUUUAUUUAUUUAUUUAUUUAUUCCUUGGUUUUAUCUGUUUACGUGGAUUAUAUCUUUGCAUUAAUAAUUUUAAGGUUUAAUUACUCUGUUGGUCUCUAUAAUUUUGUAAAAUUUUCAAUUAGGUUUCUAUAUUUUUUUUUUCUUUUUAAUUGGAUCCCUGCACUAUUUUUUUUUUUCAAUUAAGUCCCUCUUAGUAAUAAUUAGCUUAAUUUUAUAGGGAUCCAACUAAAAAAAAGAAUUGGUAUAGAGACUUAAAUAAAAGGAAAAAGAAAAAAAAAGUGUAAAGACCCAAUUAAAAAAAAUUUUGAUGCAAGAACUCAAUUAAAAGGAAAAAAAGUAUAGAGACUUAAUUGAAAAUUUCAUGAAACUAUAGGAACCAACAGAGUAAUUAAACCUAAUUUUAAUAUAGUGAAUCUUAUAUAAAACGAUUUAAAAGUGAUAUUUAUUUGAUAGAUUUUAUAAAUGCUAAACAAUUCUCUUCACUAUUAUUCAUAACAAAAAUUAUCAAACUAGACAUGUUAGUGAAAUUUCUUUUCUUUUUUCAACUAUAUAAUUGUUUUAAGUGGAAACUUAGGUGCAGUUAACUUCUUGUAAAGUUGAUAGUUGAAAAUCAUUAAAUAAUUUGAGAGAUUUGACUAAAUUGUUAUAUGACUUUCAGUUAUCAAUUUCACACUGCACCCGAGUUUUUACCUUUGUUUUAUUAAAAGGAAUUAAAUUAAUUAAUUAAUUAAGAAAAUGACUCACAAUUAGGAAUAACACAAGGAGAUGAGAAAGGACCAAGUUGAAUCUUCGACCAACCAUGCUUACAAUCGCAUUCGAAACCUGCCCAUGUUUCAUGGCAUGUUCCCAUCCCACAAAAUGCUGUUUUGCAUUCAUCUGCACGCAACCACCAAAAGAAAUUACAACAAUUAUGUUUUAUUUAUACUAAAAUUAGUUAUUAAUUACUCACAUCUAUAAAAUAAUUAGAAUAUAAAACAUUAUAUUAAUUUUUGGUGUAAAAUAUGAUAGAAACUCAAGUGCAUGGUGUAAAAUAUGAUCGAAAUUCAGGUGCAGUUAACUUCAUGUGAAGUUGAUAGUUGAGAGUUAUUAAAUGAUUUGACAGGUUUGACUAAAUUAUUAUCUAACGACUCUCAGUUAUCAACUUCACAUGAAGAUAUCUGCAUGUGAAUUUUCACCAAAUACUAUAUAUAUAUAUAUGUUAUAAUAUUAAGUGUAUGUAUACCUUCCGAAGUAGAAGAAUGGUUGCAAGUGAAGAGAGUU
RNAcentral lists this long non-coding RNA (1759 nucleotides) under Arachis ipaensis. Its description in RNAcentral is "long non-coding RNA (AIPA_LNC002095)". Lineage: Eukaryota; Viridiplantae; Streptophyta; Magnoliopsida; Fabales; Fabaceae. The record is from RNAcentral.